AUUGAACGCUGGCGGCAUGCUUUACACAUGCAAGUCGAACGGCAGCGCGGGCUUCGGCCUGGCGGCGAGUGGCGAACGCGUGAGUAAUGCAUCGGAACGUGCCCAGUAGUGGGGGAUAGCCCGGCGAAAGCCGGAUUAAUACCGCAUACGACCUGAGGGUGAAAGCGGGGGACCGAAAGGCCUCGCGCUAUUGGAGCGGCCGAUGUCGGAUUAGCUAGUUGGUGGGGUAAAGGCUUACCAAGGCGACGAUCCGUAGCUGGUCUGAGAGGACGACCAGCCACACUGGGACUGAGACACGGCCCAGACUCCUACGGGAGGCAGCAGUGGGGAAUUUUGGACAAUGGGGGCAACCCUGAUCCAGCCAUGCCGCGUGCGGGAAGAAGGCCUUCGGGUUGUAAACCGCUUUUGUUCGGGAAGAAAUCCUCUGGGCUAAUACCCCGGGGGGAUGACGGUACCGGAAGAAUAAGCACCGGCUAACUACGUG
RNAcentral lists this ribosomal RNA (484 nucleotides) under uncultured bacterium. Its description in RNAcentral is "partial 16S ribosomal RNA". It matches the Rfam family "Bacterial small subunit ribosomal RNA", at positions 28 to 507 of the family's 1533-position model. The record is from RNAcentral.